Molecule: long non-coding RNA, 1822 nt
Filed under: Homo sapiens (human)
Lineage: Eukaryota; Metazoa; Chordata; Mammalia; Primates; Hominidae
Description: uncharacterized LOC105372832, transcript variant 2 (LOC105372832)
Source: RNAcentral
UGAGCAGAAGCGGCCGGGUGGUCCUCCUGGGUGCCUCAGGGGCCCGGGGAGCAUGGGUCAGGGCGAGUGGCUGCUCCCUGGCCUCAGGUUAUCUGGGUGCCCGGUGAGUGAGGCAUGGCAGGCGAUACCGGACCCCACCCACCGCGUAUACCUCUGGAAUAGCGAUUGCCAUGAUUGAUGUCAGUAGCCUGGGCUGGGAGCCUGCAGGUAAUCAGAACUGCGAAGAUGAUUGGGUCACAGCCAGGAGACUGAUUUUGUAUCCAGAAGUUUCUGUUUCACAAUCACUAAACUACUCAUGCUCAAAGAUUAGUGUCAACAAGAAAUAAACAGACUCUGAUACCGAUAUAAAAUGAACGCGCGUUCAAGAUUUCCUUCAACUCAUUGUUAGCGCAGAAACCGGUAAGAUGUGCCAGCCAGGUCAAAGGAGAAGUGACAAAGGCACCUGUGUACGCGGAGUAAAGGGAUACAGGCUACAACUGAAAACACCAGUCAUAUUACCAAGGCUGUGACCGAAAUCGUGUCUCUGAGAAUGUGCCUCAAGCGUUCCAAGCCUGGCCGGCCGCGCUGGCUCACGCCUAUCAUCCCAGCACUUUGGGAGGCUGAGGUGGGAAGAUCACCUGGUGUCAGGAGUUUGAGACCAGCCUGGCCAACAUGGUGAAACCCCAUCUCUACUAAAAAUACUAAAAUUAGCUGGGCGUGGUGACAGCCGCCUGUAAUCCCAGCUACCUGGGAGGCUGAGACAGGAGAACCGCUUGAACCCGGGAGGCAGAGGUUGAAGUGAGCCAACAUCGCGCCAUUGCGCUCCAGCCUGGGCAACAAGAUCAAAACUCCAUCCCCCCUCCAAAUAAAAAGAAAGUUCCCAGCCUUACAGCGAGAGUAAAUAAAAACUGUCACCAUCUGGCAGGCCCAGGAACCUCAGGGCUAUCGGUCAAAUCUAAAGCCUGCCUUGGUUUGGCUUCUUAGCCUCAAGAGGCCAUUAAAUCUGAGAUUCCCAUCUGAUCAACAUAGGGAGAAAAGCUUAUGUUUCUAAAGAAAAGCUGUAGGCCUGGGUGCAGUGCCUCACGCCUGUAAUCCCAACACUUUGGGAGGCUGAGGUAGGAGGAUCACUUGAGCCCAGGAGUUCGAGACCAGCCUGGGCAAAAUAGAGAGACCCUUAUCUCUAUACUUUUUGAAAAAGGAAAAGAAAAGCUAUAAUACAUCUGUUAGGAGAUUGUAGCUCUGGGCAUUGUAUUUGAGCUCUUAUAUCUACCUACAGACUAGACUAGAUCCUAAAUUCUUCUAGAUUCCUUCAGUCAAAAUUUCUUCCAUGGAAUUACUAAAAAUAAAAACUGCUCUGUUCCUAAAUCCCUAUAAACUGAAACUAGAUGAAUUUUAAGGAACAAGUCUCAUAUCUGACAUAUGGGCCCCACAGGAGUUCACCAAACCAUCCAAUGCCAUAACCACAGACAUUUCACCUGCAAACCAGGCAGAGAAGCUGGCGUUUUCACACUGUAGCCAGGGCUUCCAGUUCAUCGGGACGAGAUUCUGUAUCAGAGACGCCCUCCCUCUUACCGUCUACCUGCUCGUGCCACAGGAUCAUGGUCAUUUAGUUCAUUCAACUGGUGAUCUUAAGCCUAGGUUUGUAGCUCAAAACUGUUAUGCAAACUGGGAUUUUCAUAUUACUAUUAAUUUUACUUUGUAUUUUCCCUUUUUAAACUUUGUGCCUGUUACUUGUUAAAUUUCUGCAGAUGUACACCUCCUAACUGAACAAUGCUGGACCGGCUCUUUGAGAUGAUAGCAAAGACUAUGAAACAAAUAAAACUGAAAUUAAUAAUGGACUCCA